UGCGGGGUGGAGCAGCGGCAGCUCGUUGGGCUCAUAACCCAAAGGUCGACGGUUCGAGUCCGUCCCCCGCGACCA
RNAcentral lists this transfer RNA (75 nucleotides) under Acidimicrobiaceae bacterium. RNAcentral describes it as "tRNA-Met". It matches the Rfam family "tRNA". Rfam says of the family: Transfer RNA (tRNA) molecules are approximately 80 nucleotides in length. RNAcentral also lists the same sequence under 2 other names. The record is from RNAcentral. Lineage: Bacteria; Bacillati; Actinomycetota; Acidimicrobiia; Acidimicrobiales; Acidimicrobiaceae.